This 699-nucleotide ribosomal RNA is filed under the name uncultured Providencia sp. RNAcentral's name for it is "bacterial SSU rRNA". It matches the Rfam family "Bacterial small subunit ribosomal RNA", at positions 802 to 1502 of the family's 1533-position model. Lineage: Bacteria; Pseudomonadati; Pseudomonadota; Gammaproteobacteria; Enterobacterales; Morganellaceae. The record is from RNAcentral.
GUAAACGAUGUCGAUUUGGAGGUUGUUCCCGUGAGGAGUGGCUUCCGGAGCUAACGCGUUAAAUCGACCGCUGGGGAGUACGGCCGCAAGGUUAAAACUCAAAUGAAUUGACGGGGGCCCGCACAGCGGUGGAGCAUGUGGUUUAAUUCGAUGCAACGCGAAGAACCUUACCUACUCUUGACAUCCAGAGAAUUUAGCAGAGAUGCUUUAGUGCCUUCGGGAACUCUGAGACAGGUGCUGCAUGGCUGUCGUCAGCUCGUGUUGUGAAAUGUUGGGUUAAGUCCCGCAACGAGCGCAACCCUUAUCCUUUGUUGCCAGCACAUUAUGGUGGGAACUCAAAGGAGACUGCCGGUGAUAAACCGGAGGAAGGUGGGGAUGACGUCAAGUCAUCAUGGCCCUUACGAGUAGGGCUACACACGUGCUACAAUGGCGUAUACAAAGAGAAGCGACCUCGCGAGAGCAAGCGGAACUCAUAAAGUACGUCGUAGUCCGGAUUGGAGUCUGCAACUCGACUCCAUGAAGUCGGAAUCGCUAGUAAUCGUAGAUCAGAAUGCUACGGUGAAUACGUUCCCGGGCCUUGUACACACCGCCCGUCACACCAUGGGAGUGGGUUGCAAAAGAAGUAGGUAGCUUAACCUUCGGGAGGGCGCUUACCACUUUGUGAUUCAUGACUGGGGUGAAGUCGUAACAAGGUAACCA